This 253-nucleotide ribosomal RNA is filed under the name uncultured bacterium. RNAcentral describes it as "partial 16S ribosomal RNA". It matches the Rfam family "Bacterial small subunit ribosomal RNA", at positions 524 to 776 of the family's 1533-position model. The record is from RNAcentral.
UACAGAGGUCUCAAGCGUUGUUCGGAUUCAUUGGGCGUAAAGGGUGCGUAGGCGGCGCGGUAAGUCGGGUGUGAAAUCUUGGAGCUUAACUCCGAAACUGCAUUCGAUACUGCCGUGCUUGAGGACUGGAGAGGAGGCUGGAAUUUACGGUGUAGCGGUGAAAUGCGUAGAUAUCGUAAGGAAGACCAGUGGCGAAGGCGGGUCUCUGGACAGUUCCUGACGCUGAGGCACGAAGGUCAGGGGAGCAAACGGG